Molecule: long non-coding RNA, 192 nt
Organism: Talpa occidentalis (Iberian mole)
Lineage: Eukaryota; Metazoa; Chordata; Mammalia; Eulipotyphla; Talpidae
Exons: 3
Source: RefSeq, a predicted model, not a curated record
AUGAACUUUGGUUGGUCACCAAGACUCACCACAAAUGGCAGUCUAUUGAGGUUUUGUGACAGAGGCCAGAGAACAGCAGAGGUUUACGAGGGUGGAGAGAGAACAAAGAGUUCGGGCAGAUCCACAGACUCUGAAAUGAAAAUUGACACCAAGCCAUUGACCCUAAGGCUGGAUCCUCCACCAGAGAACAGU